Molecule: ribosomal RNA, 457 nt
Filed under: uncultured bacterium
Lineage: Bacteria
Description: bacterial SSU rRNA
Rfam family: Bacterial small subunit ribosomal RNA
Source: RNAcentral
UACGGAAGGCAGCAGUGGGGAAUAUUGCACAAUGGGCGAAAGCCUGAUGCAGCUAUGCCGCGUGUAUGAAGAAGGCCUUAGGGUUGUAAAGUACUUUCAUCGGGGAGGAAAAACAAAACUAAUAAUUUUAUUUCUUGACGUUACCCGAAAAAGAAGCACCGGCUAACUCCGUGCCAGCAGCCGCGGUAAUACGGAGGGUGCUAGCGUUAAUCAGAAUUACUGGGCGUAAAGAGCACGUAGGUGGUUUUUUUAAAGUCAGAUGUGAAAUCCCUGGGCUUAACCUAGGAACUGCAUUUUGAAACUGAAAUACUAGAGUAUCGUAGAGGGAGGUAGAAUUCUAGGUGUAGCGGUGAAAUGCGUAGAUAUCUGGAGGAAUACCUGUGGCGAAAGCGGCCUCCUAAACGAAUACUGACACUGAGGUGCGAAAGCGUGGGGAGCAAACGAGGGAUUAGAUACC